CUGACAGAUGGACAAAAUGUCUAUUCAUACACACUCAGCACCAAAAGACCUCCCCUCUCCUGCCUAUGCCUUCUCCGGCAUGUGUGGCUUUGAUAUGAGUGUUUUCUGGGCUGCUGAGAGUAUCAGAUGUGUUUGUCAUGAGAAGAUAAGUGCUCCCCACUAGAGGCUCUCUCGCGGUACACAGAACUCAGCCCAGACUCAAGCCUCAGGACAAAACCACCAGCGCUUUAAAGGCUCAGCUCAGCCCAUCGCCAGAAGCAGCUCACACAAACCCACUGGCCUCUAAGUACCACAAUUCAAAUGAGUAGUUGUCACAAUUAUUUUUCAUAUGCAAAAUGGAGAGUCUUCUGGCUGGAGGUCCUGGACGCUACCGACAAGGGAAACUGAUCUAGCAACUCCUCCUCUUCCGGGCAGAGCAACCAUUAGAAGAGUCCCUGGCACCUGUCCUGCUGCCCCAGUCUGUCUCACGCUGAUAGCUCCUGUGCAGACCUUGACGGACUUGACUCAUGACACCCGCUCUCCAAGGAGCUGGGACUGCUCGCCAUGAUGGAAGCCAAGUAGCAGCAGCAAGGUUCUGACGGAGACAGAACUCUAUCUUGCAAUAAACUGACUGAUGAU
Long non-coding RNA from Myodes glareolus (Bank vole), 618 nucleotides. RefSeq lists it as uncharacterized. NCBI's taxonomy places the organism in Eukaryota, Metazoa, Chordata, Mammalia, Rodentia, Cricetidae. The record is from RefSeq and is a predicted model, not a curated record.